AUGAUCUCUACAUCCCUACUGCUGCUGCUGCUGGCAGCCGUACACUGUGUUCACUGUGUUGAGCUGAUCCAGACCGGAUCCACAGUAUUAACUCCUGGUCAGUCACUGACUCUGACCUGUAAAGUGUCUGGAUAUUCAUUAACUGAUAGCAGCUACUGUACACACUGGAUACGACAACCUGCAGGAAAAACUCUGGAGAGGAUUGGAGAGAUAUGUGGUAGCGGUAACACUUUCUACGGUGAGAAACUGAAAAGCAGGUUUCAGGUUUCCAGAGACACGUCCAGCAGUACAGUGACAUUAACAGGACAGAACAUGCAGACUGAAGACACAGCUGUGUAUUACUGCGCUCGUGAAUAUCACAGCAAUGCCUCUUCUGAAAGCCUAAACACUUAUAUGCAAAUCAACAAAUCAAACCCCUUUAUAAAUGAUUAG
Hemibagrus wyckioides is the source of this 432-nucleotide non-coding RNA. NCBI's taxonomy places the organism in Eukaryota, Metazoa, Chordata, Actinopteri, Siluriformes, Bagridae. The record is from the annotation of a RefSeq genome assembly.